UUUAUUUGUUUUUACGGUGAAAAAAAAUUCUAAUGUAAUAAUAUAUUUAUAAACGACGAAUAGUUUUUAACUUAUAAUAUAAUAAAUACAAGUAUACAACAAUCAAAGGAAAAUUAACAAUGAGAACACGUAGGUAUAGGGGAUCUUCAGGUAACACGUGCGUUUCCGCAGACGGGUUCAUCGUACGACCUGCACGGAUUCCAAGGAUCUCGCAUAACAUAUUACAUAUUAGCCGCCCUUAUAUUAUUCAAUAGGUACUAAAUAUUUCAAAACACCAAAUAUCAUCACGAAGAGAGGACAGGUCCAGUAUGGAACCUACCGCUAAAUUUGACUUAUCUAUCUAACAAUCAGGCUAUAGGUACCGUUCACUUAAAAUAUUUAGUUACAUAACUUGAAACAGUAAAAUAUCGUCUAUUAUUAAUCCAUCUUAUAUUAAUAAGUAUAUUUAUGUGUAUAUAAACUACACUUUUAUAGAAAAUAUUUUUGUACAAA
Molecule: long non-coding RNA, 492 nt
Organism: Myzus persicae (green peach aphid)
Lineage: Eukaryota; Metazoa; Arthropoda; Insecta; Hemiptera; Aphididae
Exons: 3
Source: RefSeq, a predicted model, not a curated record